Molecule: long non-coding RNA, 549 nt
Filed under: Vigna radiata
Lineage: Eukaryota; Viridiplantae; Streptophyta; Magnoliopsida; Fabales; Fabaceae
Description: long non-coding RNA (VRAD_LNC015696)
Source: RNAcentral
GAAAGCUAUAUCUGGACAGAUUUUAAAAACAAAAAAAAAAAACUACAACACUAUCAAGGAAUUAUGCAGCACGGUUCAAGCUGCUAUAUGCAGAAUUUGGAAUCUGCACAGGAAUGCUUUCCACUGUAAUGUAUCAACAUAAAUUGUGGUAUGCGUUUCCUCUGAGUGCAUCANAUCCAACAAUCAAUAGCACAUCACAGAUCACAUAGAUGUUGGUGUAUUAAAAAGCAAAUUGAAACCAGAUGCAACANAACAGAAUUUUUCUCGGUAUCAAUUAACUUGUUAACCUAUGGUACUGCUUGCUGAGGAGCUUCAAGAUGCACUAGGCUUCUUAUUGAAUUACUCCAAUCAACUAUGCAGGUUUAUCCAUUCUUGGUUAAACAUGGAAUUUUAGACAAAAUUGGAAAAUAUUGACAUGACUUUAACAAGACAGAAUCAGAUUUCAAAAGUAAAAACUCAAAUCAUUAACAUGAACCGAUUAAAAUGAUAAUACCAAAUCAAAGCAAAGCUGGAUCAAGAAGAUGACUCAAAGGAAUCUAUAGAAUGUAA